RNAcentral lists this ribosomal RNA (582 nucleotides) under Candida tetrigidarum. Its description in RNAcentral is "eukaryotic LSU rRNA". It matches the Rfam family "Eukaryotic large subunit ribosomal RNA", at positions 40 to 638 of the family's 3401-position model. The record is from RNAcentral. Lineage: Eukaryota; Fungi; Ascomycota; Pichiomycetes; Serinales; Debaryomycetaceae.
AUAUCAAUAAGCGGAGGAAAAGAAACCAACAGGGAUUGCCUUAGUAGCGGCGAGUGAAGCGGCAAAAGCUCAAAUUUGAAAUCUGGCUCUUUCAGAGUCCGAGUUGUAAUUUGAAGAAGGUAUCUUUGGGGCUGGCUCUUGUCUAUGUUUCUUGGAACAGAACGUCACAGAGGGUGAGAAUCCCGUGCGAUGAGAUGACCCAGUCCUAUGUAAAGUUCCUUCGAAGAGUCGAGUUGUUUGGGAAUGCAGCUCUAAGUGGGUGGUAAAUUCCAUCUAAAGCUAAAUAUUGGCGAGAGACCGAUAGCGAACAAGUACAGUGAUGGAAAGAUGAAAAGAACUUUGAAAAGAGAGUGAAAAAGUACGUGAAAUUGUUGAAAGGGAAGGGCUUGAGAUCAGACUUGGUAUUUUGUAUGUUACUUCUUCGGGGGUGGCCUCUGCAGUUUGCCGGGCCAGCAUCAGUUUGGGCGGUAGGACAAUCGCGCAGGAACGUGGCACGGCUUCGGUUGUGUGUUAUAGCCUGUGUGGAUACUGCCAGCCUAGACUGAGGACUGCGGUUUAUACCUAGGAUGUUGGCAUAAUGAU